RNAcentral lists this small nuclear RNA (18 nucleotides) under Arabidopsis thaliana (thale cress). Its description in RNAcentral is "snRNA_01498". The record is from RNAcentral. Lineage: Eukaryota; Viridiplantae; Streptophyta; Magnoliopsida; Brassicales; Brassicaceae.
GGAAGACGGAGGUCCAAA